This 460-nucleotide ribosomal RNA is filed under the name uncultured bacterium. Its description in RNAcentral is "partial 16S ribosomal RNA". It matches the Rfam family "Bacterial small subunit ribosomal RNA", at positions 338 to 795 of the family's 1533-position model. The record is from RNAcentral.
CCUACGGGAGGCAGCAGUGAGGAAUAUUGGUCAAUGGACGAGAGUCUGAACCAGCCAAGUAGCGUGAAGGAUGACUGCCCUAUGGGUUGUAAACUUCUUUUAUAUGGGAAUAAAAUGUUCCACGUGUGGGAUUUUGUAUGUACCAUAUGAAUAAGGAUCGGCUAACUCCGUGCCAGCAGCCGCGGUAAUACGGAGGAUCCGAGCGUUAUCCGGAUUUAUUGGGUUUAAAGGGAGCGUAGGUGGAUUGUUAAGUCAGUUGUGAAAGUUUGCGGCUCAACCGUAAAAUUGCAGUUGAAACUGGCAGUCUUGAGUACAGUAGAGGGGGUCGGAAUUCGUGGUGUAGCGGUGAAAUGCUUAGAUAUCACGAAGAACUCCGAUUGCGAAGGCAGUUCACUGGACUGCAACUGACACUGAGGCUCGAAAGUGUGGGUAUCAAACAGGAUUAGAUACCCUUGUAGUC